RNAcentral lists this ribosomal RNA (450 nucleotides) under uncultured bacterium. Its description in RNAcentral is "partial 16S ribosomal RNA". It matches the Rfam family "Bacterial small subunit ribosomal RNA", at positions 354 to 796 of the family's 1533-position model. The record is from RNAcentral.
GUAGGGAAUCUUCGGCAAUGGGGGCAACCCUGACCGAGCAACGCCGCGUGAGUGAAGAAGGUUUUCGGAUCGUAAAGCUCUGUUGUAAGAGAAGAACGUGUGUGAGAGUGGAAAGUUCACACAGUGACGGUAACUUACCAGAAAGGGACGGCUAACUACGUGCCAGCAGCCGCGGUAAUACGUAGGUCCCGAGCGUUGUCCGGAUUUAUUGGGCGUAAAGCGAGCGCAGGCGGUUUAAUAAGUCUGAAGUUAAAGGCAGUGGCUUAACCAUUGUUCGCUUUGGAAACUGUUAAACUUGAGUGCAGAAGGGGAGAGUGGAAUUCCAUGUGUAGCGGUGAAAUGCGUAGAUAUAUGGAGGAACACCGGUGGCGAAAGCGGCUCUCUGGUCUGUAACUGACGCUGAGGCUCGAAAGCGUGGGGAGCAAACAGGAUUAGAAACCCGUGUAGUCC